This 870-nucleotide long non-coding RNA is filed under the name Elaeis guineensis (African oil palm). RNAcentral's name for it is "long non-coding RNA (EGUI_LNC063422)". The record is from RNAcentral. Lineage: Eukaryota; Viridiplantae; Streptophyta; Magnoliopsida; Arecales; Arecaceae.
AGGAAAUCAGCACAGUAUGCUAGUACUGCACUGAUCCUUCUUUGAUGGUUGAUCAGGUGCCUCCAUCUUCUUGAUUUGGACUCUUCCAAAGAUGAAAAGUAGAAGGAGGAGUUUCAGAUCUAAGACACUCUCAGGAAACUCAAGAUGGAGGGAGGAAAGAUAUGAAAACAAAAACCCUAGAAGAAGACCCUCUUCUUCUUCACGUUUUUCUCUCUAGACACCCAAACUUGCAUCUUUUAUAUCUCCAUGACCCAAAGGUAUUUCUCUCUAAUUUUUGGAUGGCACAAAGGUCUCUCAAAUAUUUGACUUUUCCUAAAAUUUUACUAAAAAACUCAUCUUAUAUAGAGAGAUAUGAUAGAGUCCUUAUCUAGGUCAAACACCUAGUCAAGGCUUAUCCAAACAUGGCAAGUUAAGGGACGCCCAACUCUUGAGCACCUCCUUCAUAUUUUCGUGCAUGGAUCACCAGAAAAGGGUGCACAAUGUAUAUCCUAAAAUCCACAAAAAUUCCAAAAAAAAUUUGGAUAAAUUUGGUGCAAAAUUGAAAGAGUUUUGGAUUUCUAAAACUCUAUCUCAUAGAAUUCAAAAUCCAAACUUAUUCCUUUUAGAUUUGAUCCAAACCACCUUCCAUGUAAGAAAGAAGAGAAGAGACCUUUUGUGAAUAUGGGAGAGAUCUGGGAGAGGGCUUUUGUCACACAAAAUAAGUGAAGAUUGGCAUUGAAUUAAGAGAGAGGGCAUGGAGAAGGCUUAUGUGGCGCAAGGUGGAAUCCUAGUCUUACUAGGAUUCUGUCUUAUGACUUGUUUUAAUUUGGUUUCCCAAACCAAAUCAAAUCAAAAUUAGAUCAACCCAAUUAAAAUAGGUCUUAAUCCAAU